This 420-nucleotide ribosomal RNA is filed under the name uncultured soil bacterium. RNAcentral's name for it is "bacterial SSU rRNA". It matches the Rfam family "Bacterial small subunit ribosomal RNA", at positions 26 to 433 of the family's 1533-position model. The record is from RNAcentral.
AGAAUCAACGCUGGCGGCGUGCCUAACACAUGCAAGUCGAACGCGAAAGGGGCUUCGGCCCUGAGUAGAGUGGCGAACGGGUGAGUAACACGUGGGUGAUCUACCUUCGAGUGGGGGAUAACGUCCCGAAAGGGACGCUAAUACCGCAUGAUGUUCUGGGUUUGAAAACCUGGAAACCAAAGCUGGGGACCGCAAGGCCUGGCGCUAGAAGAGGAGCCCGCGCCUGAUUAGCUAGUUGGCGGGUAACGCCCACCAAGGCGACGAUCAGUAGCCGGCCUGAGAGGGCGACGGCCACGACUGGGACUGAGACACGGCCCAGACCUCCGUACGGGAGGCAGCGAGGUGGGGAAUUGUCGCAAUGGGCGCAAGCCUGACGACGCAACGCGCGUGGAGGAUGAAGGCCUUCGGGUACGUAACUCC